This 450-nucleotide long non-coding RNA is filed under the name Homo sapiens (human). RNAcentral's name for it is "non-protein coding lnc-GSTM3-5:1". Lineage: Eukaryota; Metazoa; Chordata; Mammalia; Primates; Hominidae. The record is from RNAcentral.
CUUGCUGCGACCCCGCCCCUCGGCCCGCCACAACCCGAAAUGAAGUCACACCGUGAUAUGUGACCCAUGGUACAACCUCCACGAGAACAAUGUCCAACCUGCCAACUUUCUUCUUUCAAGGUAGAAGGAAGACUUUCAAAAGAGUUGUGCAAUGGAUUAGCCUGGGGUUGACUGCUUUAAAGGAUAUUGCAAAUAAUAAUGGACAUAUGGAAAUAGAUGAUAGACCUUUAAUGAGAAAUCAUUUUGCAAUGUAAACCAGGCUGUUGUGCUGCAAAAAAAGUAGUUUUUUUGUUUUGUUUUGUUUUGUUUUGUUUUGUUUUGUUUUUUGUAAAUUAGCUAAAACAUUGUUAGGACUCCAGAGGAUGAACCCAGUAUAUCAAAAAAGUUUCAAACCACCUGGAUAAUGUGUGGUUUGGGGUUGAGUAAACAGGUAGACUUCAUCACAUCCCU